Molecule: small nucleolar RNA, 104 nt
Organism: Suncus etruscus (white-toothed pygmy shrew)
Lineage: Eukaryota; Metazoa; Chordata; Mammalia; Eulipotyphla; Soricidae
Product: small nucleolar RNA U13
Exons: 1
Source: RefSeq, a predicted model, not a curated record
AUCAUUUUCUGGUUCAUGAACAUGAUGGUUGGAUGUUUCCACAUUUGUGAGACAUGUGCCUCACUUAAACCUUGUUAUAAUGGCUGCACAUUAGCUGUCUUACA